CGAGCGUUUCGGUUGGUCGCGUUUAGAGGACGUCCAUGGAGGUCGACCUGGCAGGCCCCCUCAAGUUAACGUUUAGGUCCCUUCAGAAGUUUGAUCGUGACCACCGGUAACCUCCGGUCGCUGUGCUCUGAAAGCCAGGGACGUCUCCAUCCCGAGGGAGGUCUCCAUCACUACAAAGGAAUCAAGGAAAAAGUCAUUUCCUGAGAAUAAGAAUACUUGACAUCAUGGACUAGGAGAGGGAGUGGAGCUCUUCCUGAUAAAAUAUGUAAGUGAGGAUAAAUUCUUAGCCCGCUUGCUUUGGACAGGAUCUCAGAACACAGGGUCUUAAAUCUUGGUGUAGAUUAAGGAAGUGAGGGAAAGUUAAACAGGCAUCAUCACAAUAAGAGUUUCAAAAUGCUUUCCAAAGACCCUGAAGCAAUAGCUCAGGGAAGGGAGUUCACUACAGUGUGAUAGUACACGGAAGGUGAUCGGCUACAGCAGUGCAAAAUGUGGUAGCCCUUGGUAUGUUCUUGGGGUUCUUC
Canis lupus familiaris (dog) is the source of this 521-nucleotide long non-coding RNA. RefSeq lists it as uncharacterized. The transcript is spliced from 3 exons. The record is from RefSeq and is a predicted model, not a curated record. Lineage: Eukaryota; Metazoa; Chordata; Mammalia; Carnivora; Canidae.